This 333-nucleotide ribosomal RNA is filed under the name Triticum aestivum (bread wheat). RNAcentral's name for it is "partial small subunit ribosomal RNA". Lineage: Eukaryota; Viridiplantae; Streptophyta; Magnoliopsida; Poales; Poaceae. The record is from RNAcentral.
AUGCCUUGCCAGUCUGAAAUCACGAACCCGGAAUUUGAGCUUGUUCUUGAGAAAAUCAGUGACAAGGAAGUGGUUGGCGUGCAUUUUCUUUCCGUUCCAGCUAGAGUACGAGGUCAUAACAGUGGAGACACCUCUGAUGAUAGAAUUGUAAUAAGCAGGCAUAUGGAUAGUCAUCAGCCCAUGGGCGUCGAUGACUGUAUUGUUCUCGUUGAUCCCCAUAAACGUACCACCAUCACCAACAUAGUGCUUUGCACAUGCAGCAACUUUCUUAUCCACCAACGUAUGGCCUUCCCUCAGAACCAGCCGGAACGUCACCUUGCAGACCAGAGAUAA